GUGCUCGCUUCGGCAGCACGUGUACUAAAAUUGGAACAACGCAGAGAAGAUGAGCAUGGCCCCAGCACAAGGAUGACACGUAAAUUCGUGAUGCAUUCCAUAUUAAA
RNAcentral lists this small nuclear RNA (107 nucleotides) under Dasypus novemcinctus (nine-banded armadillo). The record is from RNAcentral. Lineage: Eukaryota; Metazoa; Chordata; Mammalia; Cingulata; Dasypodidae.